GAUGAACGCUGGCGGCGUGCCUAAUACAUGCAGGUCGAGCGAACGGACGAGAAGCUUGCUUUUCUGAUGUUAGCGGCGGACGGGUGAGUAACACGUGGAUAACCUACCUAUAAGGCUGGGAUAACUUCGGGAAACCGGAGCUAAUACCGGAUAAUAUUUUGAACCGCAUGGUUCAAAAGUGAAAGACGGUCUUGCUGUCACUUAUAGAUGGAUCCGCGCUGCAUUAGCUAGUUGGUAAGGUAACGGCUUACCAAGGCAACGAUGCAUAGCCGACCUGAGAGGGUGAUCGGCCACACUGGAACUGAGACACGGUCCAGACUCCUACGGGAGGCAGCAGUAGGGAAUCUUCCGCAAUGGGCGAAAGCCUGACGGAGCAACGCCGCGUGAGUGAUGAAGGUCUUCGGAUCGUAAAACUCUGUUAUUAGGGAAGAACAUAUGUGUAAGUAACUGUGCACAUCUUGACGGUACCUAAUCAGAAAGCCACGGCUAACUACGUG
This 497-nucleotide ribosomal RNA is filed under the name uncultured bacterium. RNAcentral's name for it is "partial 16S ribosomal RNA". It matches the Rfam family "Bacterial small subunit ribosomal RNA", at positions 28 to 507 of the family's 1533-position model. The record is from RNAcentral.